Molecule: long non-coding RNA, 360 nt
Organism: Ornithorhynchus anatinus (platypus)
Lineage: Eukaryota; Metazoa; Chordata; Mammalia; Monotremata; Ornithorhynchidae
Exons: 3
Source: RefSeq, a predicted model, not a curated record
GCCGCGGAGCUGUUCGGCUCUCCGGGUGCUGAGUCCGAGCCCGUCGCCCCCGGAGCCGGAGGAUGGGAGCCGAGCGAGCGGCGCGGCGCUGAGCGGCCAGGCGAGGGUGCAGCCCGUCCGCCUCCCCUCCCCACCCGCCAGUCCGCGAGAACAUCUCUGAAGUCUUCGUUGAAGGCAGAGCACCAACCCUUGCUGUGUUUCCCGAUUGACCCCAGAGCAGCAGUCUAACGCGGGCUACCGGUUCAUCACAUCUCUUCUAGCGACUGAAUAAACUUCUCAGUUUGUUCUGAUCUUGCUGGAUGGGAUGGAAAAUUGGUAAACCAGAGACCAAUCUCCUGAACCACUUCUGGUGUUCUACAG